AAGAAUCUCAUACCAUGCCUAUCAGCAGCGGUGAUCAUCGAUCCAUGCAAAGGUAAUGAGUUCUGAACUCAUUCGAUUAGAUCUAAUGGUUAGAUCUGAUCUAGGGCAUUGAUGUGAUCCAUGCAAUUUUUUUUAUGUCAGAUUUUUGUAUACAAAAAUUUCAUAUCAUAGAUCCUUAAAAAAUAGUUUAGAUCUGAUUUAAAGCAUAUAUAGGAG
RNAcentral lists this long non-coding RNA (216 nucleotides) under Elaeis guineensis (African oil palm). Its description in RNAcentral is "long non-coding RNA (EGUI_LNC060334)". Lineage: Eukaryota; Viridiplantae; Streptophyta; Magnoliopsida; Arecales; Arecaceae. The record is from RNAcentral.